CGUUACGUUUUCGGGCGAGAAUGGCGGUUUCUACCCGCCCGAUGUGGGUUCGAUUCCCACAGGACGC
This 67-nucleotide transfer RNA is filed under the name Achromobacter aegrifaciens. RNAcentral's name for it is "tRNA-Arg". Lineage: Bacteria; Pseudomonadati; Pseudomonadota; Betaproteobacteria; Burkholderiales; Alcaligenaceae. The record is from RNAcentral.